CCUACGGGAGGCAGCAGUGAGGAAUAUUGGUCAAUGGACGAGAGUCUGAACCAGCCAAGUAGCGUGAAGGAUGACUGCCCUAUGGGUUGUAAACUUCUUUUAUAUGGGAAUAAAAUGUUCCACGUGUGGGUUUUUGUAUGUACCAUAUGAAUAAGGAUCGGCUAACUCCGUGCCAGCAGCCGCGGUAAUACGGAGGAUCCGAGCGUUCUCCGGAUUUAUUGGGUUUAAAGGGAGCGUAGGUGGAUUGUUAAGUCAGUUGUGAAAGUUUGCGGCUCAACCGUAAAAUUGCAGUUGAAACUGGCAGUCUUGAGUACAGUAGAGGUGGGCGGAAUUCGUGGUGUAGCGGUGAAAUGCUUAGAUAUCACGAAGAACUCCGAUUGCGAAGGCAGCUCACUGGACUGCAACUGACACUGAGGCUCGAAAGUGUGGGUAUCAAACAGGAUUAGAUACCCCUGUAGUC
This 460-nucleotide ribosomal RNA is filed under the name uncultured bacterium. Its description in RNAcentral is "partial 16S ribosomal RNA". It matches the Rfam family "Bacterial small subunit ribosomal RNA", at positions 338 to 795 of the family's 1533-position model. The record is from RNAcentral.